RNAcentral lists this ribosomal RNA (586 nucleotides) under Salmonella enterica. RNAcentral describes it as "partial 23S ribosomal RNA". It matches the Rfam family "Bacterial large subunit ribosomal RNA", at positions 349 to 935 of the family's 2925-position model. The record is from RNAcentral. Lineage: Bacteria; Pseudomonadati; Pseudomonadota; Gammaproteobacteria; Enterobacterales; Enterobacteriaceae.
GGCCCGCCAAAGACGGUAACAGCCCGGUAGUUGAAAUAGCUUUCCCUCCAGAGUGGAUCCUGAGUACGGCGGAACACGUGAAAUUCCGUCGGAAUCCGGGAGGACCAUCUCCCAAGGCUAAAUACUCCCUAGUGACCGAUAGUGAACCAGUACCGUGAGGGAAAGGUGAAAAGCACCCCGGAAGGGGAGUGAAACAGUUCCUGAAACCGUGUGCCUACAAGUAGUUAGAGCCCGUUAAUGGGUGAUAGCGUGCCUUUUGUAGAAUGAACCGGCGAGUUACGAUUUGUUGCAAGGUUAAGCGGAAAAAGCGGAGCCGUAGCGAAAGCGAGUCUGAAUAGGGCGCAUAAGUAACAGGUCGUAGACCCGAAACCAGGUGAUCUACCCAUGUCCAGGAUGAAGGUAAGGUAAUACUUACUGGAGGUCCGAACCCACGCACGUUGAAAAGUGCGGGGAUGAGGUGUGGGUAGCGGAGAAAUUCCAAUCGAACUUGGAGAUAGCUGGUUCUCUCCGAAAUAGCUUUAGGGCUAGCCUCGAGGUAAAGAGUCAUGGAGGUAGAGCACUGUUUGGACUAGGGGCCCUUCUCGGG